This 464-nucleotide ribosomal RNA is filed under the name uncultured bacterium. RNAcentral describes it as "bacterial SSU rRNA". It matches the Rfam family "Bacterial small subunit ribosomal RNA", at positions 33 to 507 of the family's 1533-position model. The record is from RNAcentral.
CAGGACGACGCUGGCGGCGUGCUUAACACAUGCAAGUCGAACGGUAAGGCCCUUCGGGGUACACGAGUGGCGAACGGGUGAGUAACACGUGGGUGAUCUGCCCUGCACUUCGGGAUAAGCUUGGGAAACUGGGUCUAAUACCGGAUAGGACCACGGUCUGCAUGGAUUGUGGUGGAAAGCUUUUGCGGUGUGGGAUGGGCCCGCGGCCUAUCAGCUUGUUGGUGGGGUGAUGGCCUACCAAGGCGACGACGGGUAGCCGGCCUGAGAGGGUGUCCGGCCACACUGGGACUGAGAUACGGCCCAGACUCCUACGGGAGGCAGCAGUGGGGAAUAUUGCACAAUGGGCGCAAGCCUGAUGCAGCGACGCCGCGUGGGGGAUGACGGCCUUCGGGUUGUAAACCUCUUUCAGCAGGGACGAAGGGUGACUGACGGUACCUGUAGAAGAAGCACCGGCCAACUACGUG